UACACGACCGUACCGCAAACCGACACUGGUGCGCGAGAUGAGUAUUCUAAGGCGCUUGAGAGAACUCAGGAGAAGGAACUCGGCAAAUUGACACCGUAACUUCGGAAGAAGGUGUGCCUUUAGUAGGUGAACCAUUUACUUGGGGAGCCCAAUGAGGCUGCAAAAAAUCGGUGGCUGCAACUGUUUAUUAAAAACACAGCACUCUGCUAAGACGAAAGUCGACGUAUAGGGUGUGACGCCUGCCCGGUGCUGGAAGAUUAAAUGAUGGGGUGCAAGCUCUUGAUUGAAGUCCCAGUAAACGGCGGCCGUAACAAUAACGGUCCUAAGGUAGCGAAAUUCCUUGUCGGGUAAGUUCCGACCUGCACGAAUGGCGUAAUGAUGGCCACACUGUCUCCUCCUGAGACUCAGCGAAGUUGAAAUGUUUGUGAUGAUGCAAUCUCCCCGCGGAAAGACGGAAAGACCCCAUGAACCUUUACUGUAGCUUUGUAUUGGACUUUGAACAGAUCUGUGUAGGAUAGGUGGGAGGCUUUGAAGUGUGGUCGCUAGAUCGCAUGGAGCCAACGUUGAAAUACCACCCUGGUGUGUUUGAGGUUCUAACCUAGGUCCAUUAUCUGGAUCGGGGACAGUGCAUGGUAGGCAGUUUGACUGGGGCGGUCUCCUCCCAAAGUGUAACGGAGGAGUUCGAAGGUACGCUAGUUACGGUCGGACAUCGUGAUAAUAGUGCAAUGGCAUAAGCGUGCUUAACUGCGAGACUGACAAGUCGAGCAGAUGCGAAAGCAGGACAUAGUGAUCCGGUGGUUCUGUAUGGAAGGGCCAUCGCUCAACGGAUAAAAGGUACUCUGGGGAUAACAGGCUGAUACCGCCCAAGAGUUCAUAUCGACGGCGGUGUUUGGCACCUCGAUGUCGGCUCAUCUCAUCCUGGGGCUGUAGCCGGUCCCAAGGGUAUGGCUGUUCGCCAUUUAAAGAGGUACGUGAGCUGGGUUUAAAACGUCGUGAGACAGUUUGGUCCCUAUCUUCCGUGGGCGCUGCAGAUUUGAGGAAGCCUGCUCCUAGUACGAGAGGACCGGAGUGGACGAACCUCUGGUGUAUCGGUUGUCACGCCAGUGGCAUUGCCGAGUAGCUAAGUUCGGAAGAGAUAACCGCUGAAAGCAUCUAAGCGGGAAACUCGUUUCAAGAUUAGAUCUGCCGGGGCCUUGAGCCCCCUAAAGAGUCGUUCAAGACCAGGACGUUGAUAGGUCAGGUGUGGAAGCG
Molecule: ribosomal RNA, 1251 nt
Filed under: metagenome
Description: bacterial LSU rRNA
Rfam family: Bacterial large subunit ribosomal RNA
Source: RNAcentral